UGGAGUUUAAAGCACUGGUAUCUGAUGUGAUCUUCUUAAACUUUAAGUCCAUUAGAGAGAGCAAAAGAAACACACACAAUGAUUCUUCAUUCUGUCAUUCUGCUUUCUGCCUUUGCAUAUGCAACACAUGGAAAUGAAAUCAAACCAACCAAAUCAGAGGAGUUUGCUGAUGAGGGUUCGAGUGUUAAAUUAUCCUGCAGUUAUUCAUCUGCAUUAACUCUCUACUGGUACCGUCAGUAUCCCGAAUCAGCUCCUCAGUUCAUUGUGCUCAUCUUAGACAGUGCAAAAAAAGCUCAGGAGUCUAAUGUGGAUUCCAGAUUCACUGCCAAAGUCAGUAAAGACAAAGAAAACCAAGUGGAUCUGGAGAUCUCCUCUGCAUCUAUAUCAGACUCUGCUCUGUACUACUGCGCUCUGGAGCCCACAGUGACAGGAAACACAAGAACACUGUACAAAAACCUGAUACACAGCAUUGCAUCUACAUACCCAACACACAUAUCUGCUAUAGUUAACACAAAGGAACAUCCCUCUAUUCAGCAAAAUCAAUAUCAUAGAUUGUCAUUCACAACAUGA
Molecule: non-coding RNA, 570 nt
Organism: Onychostoma macrolepis
Lineage: Eukaryota; Metazoa; Chordata; Actinopteri; Cypriniformes; Cyprinidae
Source: the annotation of a RefSeq genome assembly